Molecule: transfer RNA, 71 nt
Filed under: Tchangsinaia piscicula
Lineage: Eukaryota; Metazoa; Mollusca; Bivalvia; Unionida; Unionidae
Description: tRNA-Asp
Source: RNAcentral
AGAAGGUUAGUCUUUAUGUUUAAGAUACAGGGUUGUCAACCCUGAGAGGUUAAUUUAUUUAACACUUUCUA